Long non-coding RNA from Mastomys coucha (southern multimammate mouse), 409 nucleotides. RefSeq lists it as uncharacterized. The record is from RefSeq and is a predicted model, not a curated record. The transcript has 3 exons. Lineage: Eukaryota; Metazoa; Chordata; Mammalia; Rodentia; Muridae.
AUGCGCACGGUCGCGCCCGCCGCCACCUUCCACUCCAGCAGACGCAGCGGCGUGGGGCCCGGGCAGCGCACCUCUGCCCCGGCCACCGCCGGAGUGCACUCGGUGGGAACGCCGGCCGCAGGCGGCACUUCCAUCGCGACCCUGCGAGCGGCACGGACGGACGGUCCCAACAGAGACCUGUGAUCCCGGGUGUCAGACUUCACAUUCCCACUACCAAAUGAGGCUAAGAGUCUCCCUGAGCUUCAGGUCACGCAUGCUCCAGAAUCUAUGCUGAUUUCCUACCAGAUGGGACACUGGGUCAGAGCUUCAGAACCUAGAUGCAGACCUCAGACCUGUUAGCAUGAUGGCUACAUGGCCAACCCAUGGCCUACCUCUCCUCAGGGGGCUGCACAAAGAAAGUACAGUGACG